RNAcentral lists this ribosomal RNA (497 nucleotides) under uncultured bacterium. RNAcentral describes it as "bacterial SSU rRNA". It matches the Rfam family "Bacterial small subunit ribosomal RNA", at positions 12 to 525 of the family's 1533-position model. The record is from RNAcentral.
UUUGAUCAUGGCUCAGAUUGAACGCUGGCGGCGUGCCUAACACAUGCAAGUCGAGCGGUAACAGGUGUAGCAAUACAUGCUGACGAGCGGCGAACGGGUGAGUAAUGCUUCGGAAUCUGCCCAAUGGUGGGGAAUAACUAGCCGAAAGGUUAGCUAAUACCGCAUGAGCCCUACGGGGGAAAGCAGGGGAUCGUAAGACCUUGCGCCGAUGGAUGAGCCGAAGCCGGAUUAGCUAGUUGGUAGGGUAACGGCCUACCAAGGCGACGAUGCGUAGCCGACCUGAGAGGGUGAUCGGCCACAUUGGGACUGAGACACGGCCCAGACUCCUACGGGAGGCAGCAGUGGGGAAUUUUGGACAAUGGACGCAAGUCUGAUCCAGCCAUGCCGCGUGCGGGAAGAAGGUUUUCGGAUCGUAAACUGCUUUUCUCUGGGACGAGAACGGACGGUACCAGAGGAAUCAGCCUCGGCUAACUACGUGCCAGCAGCCGCGGUAAUCA